This 497-nucleotide ribosomal RNA is filed under the name uncultured bacterium. RNAcentral's name for it is "partial 16S ribosomal RNA". It matches the Rfam family "Bacterial small subunit ribosomal RNA", at positions 28 to 507 of the family's 1533-position model. The record is from RNAcentral.
GAUGAACGCUGGCGGCGUGCCUAAUACAUGCAAGUCGAGCGAACAGACGAGGAGCUUGCUCCUCUGACGUUAGCGGCGGACGGGUGAGUAACACGUGGAUAACCUACCUAUAAUACUGGGAGAACUUCGGGAAACCGGAGCUAAUACCGGAUAAUAUAUUGAACCGCAUGGUUCAAUAGUGAAAGACGGUUUUGCUGUCACUUAUAGAUGGAUCCGCGCCGCAUUAGCUAGUUGGUAAGGUAACGGCUUACCAAGGCAACGAUGCGUAGCCGACCUGAGAGGGUGAUCGGCCACACUGGAACUGAGACACGGUCCAGACUCCUACGGGAGGCAGCAGUAGGGAAUCUUCCGCAAUGGGCGCAAGCCUGACGGAGCAACGCCGCGUGGGUGAUGAAGGUCUUCGGAUCGUAAAACUCUGUUAUUAGGGAAGAACAAAUGUGUAAGUAACUAUGCACGUCUUGACGGUACCUAAUCAGAAAGCCACGGCUAACUACGUG